GACGAACGCUGGCGGCGUGCUUAACACAUGCAAGUCGAACGAUGAUGCCCAGCUUGCUGGGAGGAUUAGUGGCGAACGGGCGAGUAACACGUGAGUAACCUGCCCCUGACUCUGGGAUAAGCGUUGGAAACGACGUCUAAUACUGGAUAUGACUGCCGGCCGCAUGGUCUGGUGGUGGAAAGAUUUUUUGGUUGGGGAUGGACUCGCGGCCUAACAGCUUGUUGGUGAGGUAAUGGCUCACCAAGGCGACGACGGGUAGCCGGCCUGAGAGGGUGACCGGCCACACUGGGCCUGAGACACGGCCCAGACUCCUACGGGGGCAGCAGUGGGGAAUAUUGCACAAUGGGCGAAAGCCUGAUGCAGCAACGCCGCGUGAGGGAUGACGGCCUUCGGGUUGUAAACCUCUUUUAGUAGGGAAGAAGCGAAAGUGACGGUACCUGCAGAAAAAGCACCGGCUAACUACGUGCCAGCAGCCGCCGCCG
RNAcentral lists this ribosomal RNA (482 nucleotides) under uncultured bacterium. RNAcentral describes it as "partial 16S ribosomal RNA". It matches the Rfam family "Bacterial small subunit ribosomal RNA", at positions 28 to 523 of the family's 1533-position model. The record is from RNAcentral.